RNAcentral lists this long non-coding RNA (575 nucleotides) under Malus domestica (apple). Its description in RNAcentral is "long non-coding RNA (MDOM_LNC008365)". The record is from RNAcentral. Lineage: Eukaryota; Viridiplantae; Streptophyta; Magnoliopsida; Rosales; Rosaceae.
AAAUGCUCCAACUUGGUAGCAAGUGCAUCCAAGAUUCCUCCUUUCCCCUUGCUUGCGGCAGAUUGGGUUAUGGACAGAUUUUGGGUAGUUUUAUGAUAUAGAAUGGAUGGGGAAUGGUAUGGAAGGGUUUAGGGUGAGUGUGGAGGAGUGUUUGAUGGUUGGAGGGUGGUGGAGAACUAGGCAAAGAGGGUGGAAGAAGGUGGAGUGGCUGUUAUGUUUUCUAGGCACUAGAAUGGUGUUUUUGGGGGUGUUUUGCUUCCUAGGGUGUGUAUGGACGAAUUUUUGUGAUAAAAUGAUGAAUAUGGGGGAUUGUCCUUUGGCCAAGGGGUGUAAACAUGUAUUUAUAGGCCCCAAAAACCUUAGAAAAUCAGGUUAGGUUAAGGAUGAAAUGCAUGGCAAUUUAUGUGUGUGGUGUGCAAUGGUCCAAGGGUGAAAAUGAAGUAAUGAUGCAAAGUGUGAAGGGUAAAAUGGAGUGGUGUUGUAGCUAGGGAGCAUGAAUGAUUAUGUACAUUGCAUAGAGAUGGAAAGGGAGGUGAAAUGUGUCAACAAAUGGGUCAAAGGUGCAACAACAUGUG